Molecule: ribosomal RNA, 664 nt
Filed under: uncultured Bacillota bacterium
Lineage: Bacteria; Bacillati; Bacillota
Description: bacterial SSU rRNA
Source: RNAcentral
GAGUUUGAUCCUGGCUCAGGACGAACGCUGGCGGCACGCCUAACACAUGCAAGUCGAACGGAGAUAUUUUGGUUUACUGAGAUAUCUUAGUGGCGGACGGGUGAGUAACACGUGAGCAACCUGCCUCUGAGAGAGGGAUAGCUUCUGGAAACGGAUGGUAAUACCUCAUAACAUAACGAAGCCGCAUGACUUUGUUAUCAAAGAUUUAUCACUCAGAGAUGGGCUCGCGUCUGAUUAGAUAGUUGGUGAGGUAACGGCCCACCAAGUCGACGAUCAGUAGCCGGACUGAGAGGUUGAACGGCCACAUUGGGACUGAGACACGGCCCAGACUCCUACGGGAGGCAGCAGUGGGGAAUAUUGCACAAUGGGGGAAACCCUGAUGCAGCGAUGCCGCGUGGAGGAAGAAGGUUUUCGGAUUGUAAACUCCUGUCUUAAAGGACGAUAAUGACGGUACUUUAGGAGGAAGCUCCGGCUAACUACGUGCCAGCAGCCGCGGUAAUACGUAGGGAGCGAGCGUUGUYCCGGAAUUACUGGGUGUAAAGGGAGCGUAGGCGGGAUGGCAARGUCAGAUGUGAAAACUAUGGGCUCAACCCAUAKACUGCWUUUGAAACUGUUGUUCUUUGARUGAARUAGAGGAAARCGGAAUUCUUGRUGUAGCGGUGAA